RNAcentral lists this long non-coding RNA (2383 nucleotides) under Mus caroli (Ryukyu mouse). RNAcentral's name for it is "RIKEN cDNA A930012L18 gene (MGP_CAROLIEiJ_G0003071.1)". The record is from RNAcentral. Lineage: Eukaryota; Metazoa; Chordata; Mammalia; Rodentia; Muridae.
AAACCCGAGCUCCGGACCUUAGCAGUUCCUUACCUCGCUCAGCUCGGCUGAGGAGUCGUUGCCAUAUUUCACCGCAACUCCAGAAUUCAUGCCUGCACUUUUCAGAGCCGGGCUCGUCCCCAGACCUCGGAGCGUAGGAGCCGGGCUUAGGCUGGAUAGCCUGGGCUUGCUCCCCGCCGGCACAUUUCAGUCUAGACAGCCAUUUUCACCCAGGACAGCAGCGAGGCCAGAAAGGAUGGAGAAGCUCGUUACCGUAAGUCAGGCUGGAAUCUCACCAGCGAGCCAUAGCUGCAGGAGACUGGGCAGAGGGUUGCGCUCGCAGCAACUGCAGCGGCCGAGCCGGCGCCGGGACCCGCCCGCGCGCCCACCGCGGAGUCCCGGAGUGAUGCCACCCUCCGCGCCGCCUCGCCCCUCCUAUGGUACCACGCAGAUCCCCAUUACCCGGCAGGCGGGCAGUUCACGCCGGCGCCCAGCAGAGCUAGGGAACCCUCCGGGAGAAGCCCGGGCACCAGUGCGAGGACGAUAUGUGCCUCCGGUUCCCGGGAGGAAAGAGCUGGAGAGAGCCGGAGCCGAGCAGCACUUCACGCCGAAGUUUCCCCCUUUGAAUCGUCUGGAGUUAUUUCUUUAAAAUACAUCAGAUUCUUCUCCAUGGAGGGAAAACUGAUCGGUGCAAAUUAGGGAUUUGGAAACCCCGCAGGAAGAAUUUUUUAAAAGCUCUCUCUCUCUCUGCUUCUUGUCCAUCAUGACAUGUUCAGUCUCCUCUUCCUGCACAGGGUUCUGCUGCCAUGAUCUUCUGCCUUUCCAUGGGUUCAGAACCAGCAGAGCCCAUGAUUAUGGAUGGACUGGAAUCUCUGAAACAGGUCGUUUGGGCUGUUCUAAGUCUCUCGUGUUUCAACAUGAAUUUUGGAAUCAAGCUGCUGGUAGGCAAAGAGGCCAGGAUUUGGAGGCAUUUACCGCUUAAUAUUAAGCCUGCUGACCCGCAUAUGGGGGCUGUCUUUUCAUUUACUUGGGUCUUUGCUUCACUUGGGGUUUUAAACAGUUUUUUAUGUCUCUCAUUAAAUUUAUUACUACGUAUUUUAUUUCUCCUCCUCCUCUUCCUCUUCCUCCUCUUCCUUCUUCUUCCCCAGCCCCUCUCUUAGUUUUGUUGUUGUUGUUGUUGUUUUUUGUUUGUUUGUUUGUUUUUUAGACAGGAUUUUUCUGUGUAGCACUUGCUGUCCUAAACUCUCUCUGGCCUCAUCCUCAGAGAUCUGCCUGCCUCUGUUGCUUGAGGGUUGGAAUUAAAGGGGUGCACCACCACCACCACCUGGCUUUUACUUUUUUUAAAAAUGAUCUCAUGUAAAUAGGCUUUAUUUAUUUAAUUUUCAGAUAAUUCAUUGCCAACAUAUAAAAAUUAACUAAUUUAUGUUAUACUGAUUUUAUAUCCUGAAAUCUUCUCUAACUUUUUUUAUUUCUUAAUUGUCUGCAUGCAAGAUCUUCUGCAAAGAAAGUUAUGAGGAAUGAAGCUCUUUAAAAACACUGCCAGACUCGUCAUAACCCUCCUAUAUGCAAGGCUACCAUGGUAGAGUCCUCUCAAAAGCUCAUGUUGAAACUUAACCCCCUAUGCAACAGCAUUAAGAAGUAUGGCUUUAGUGGAGCUCUGAAGUCACAAAUAAGAUUGCCGCCUAUAUAAGAAGGCUUGGAAUUAAAGAGAAACUCUUUCUCCUGUCUGCUUUUCCAUUGUGUGGAUACAGCAUUUCUCCUCUUCAGAAGAUGUGGUAACAAGGUGGUCCUCGAUACACACCAAUCCUACAGGCAACUUGAUCUUGCACUUCCAAGUCUCAAGAACUCUGAGAAGCAAAUUUCUGUUCCUUAUAAGUCUCCCCGAUCUGUGGCAUUCUGUGACAGCAGUGUAUCUAAUGAUAGCACCUUUGGCUGGAGGGAGAGUUUGCAGAGACAUUUUGCAUGUUAGAUUUUUCCAUCACUGGGACAGAUACCAGAGAAACAAUUUAAAGGAGGAAAGAUUUAUUUUAGCUCAUGGUUUCCAUGGUUUAGUUCAAGCAUAAUGGCUCUGUGUAUCUGGGCUAUGGUUAGGCAGAAUACCAUGGCAACAGAGAGCAUGACAGGGACUGCUCAUAGCAUUAUAACCAAGAGGCCAAGAGAGGUAAGGAAAGAGUCUCUGGGCCAAGUAGUCUCUUCAAAGGCAUGUCCCCAGUGAUGAAUCUUCUCCAACAAGGACACACACACACACACACACACUCAUGUAGCUGCCAGUCAGUGGAUCAUUCUAGACCCCUCACAAAUUACCCAUUUGUGAAUGACUGGACCUACAAUAUAGAGACUAAAGCUUCAACAAACAAGCAUGGGGAGUUGUGCUUAAUAACUAAACCAUAAUAAACAUUUGAAA